UUCUCCUGGAAACGGGUGGUAAUGCCGGAUGCUCCAGUUGGAUGCAUGUCCUUCUGGGAAAGAUUCAUCGGUAUGGGAUGGGGUCGCGUCCUAUCAGCUUGAUGGCGGGGUAACGGCCCACCAUGGCUUCGACGGGUAGCCGGCCUGAGAGGGCGACCGGCCACAUUGGGACUGAGAUACGGCCCAGACUCCUACGGGAGGCAGCAGUGGGGAAUAUUGCACAAUGGGCGCAAGCCUGAUGCAGCGACGCCGCGUGCGGGAUGACGGCCUUCGGGUUGUAAACCGCUUUUGACUGGGAGCAAGCCCUUCGGGGUGAGUGUACCUUUCGAAUAAGCACCGGCUAACUACGUGCCAGCAGCCGCGGUAAUACGUAGGGUGCAAGCGUUAUCCGGAAUUAUUGGGCGUAAAGGGCUCGUAGGCGGUUCGUCGCGUCCGGUGUGAAAGUCCAUCGCUUAACGGUGGAUCCGCGCCGGGUACGGGCGGGCUUGAGUGCGGUAGGGGAGACUGGAAUUCCCGGUGUAACGGUGGAAUGUGUAGAUAUCGGGAAGAACACCA
RNAcentral lists this ribosomal RNA (555 nucleotides) under Bifidobacterium adolescentis. Its description in RNAcentral is "bacterial SSU rRNA". It matches the Rfam family "Bacterial small subunit ribosomal RNA", at positions 145 to 711 of the family's 1533-position model. The record is from RNAcentral. Lineage: Bacteria; Bacillati; Actinomycetota; Actinomycetes; Bifidobacteriales; Bifidobacteriaceae.